Molecule: non-coding RNA, 90 nt
Organism: Ameiurus melas (black bullhead)
Lineage: Eukaryota; Metazoa; Chordata; Actinopteri; Siluriformes; Ictaluridae
Source: the annotation of a GenBank genome assembly
GGUUCUGUGGCGCAAUGGAUGGCGAGUUGGACUUCUAGGCCCAGCAUUAGAGCAAUUCAAAGCUUGUGGGGUUGAGUCCCACCAGAGUCA